Molecule: long non-coding RNA, 3406 nt
Organism: Neofelis nebulosa (Clouded leopard)
Lineage: Eukaryota; Metazoa; Chordata; Mammalia; Carnivora; Felidae
Exons: 4
Source: RefSeq, a predicted model, not a curated record
GGCUGCCUGCGGAUAUAGCCCCUUUUCUCGGCUGCCUUAUUGCCAGUUACAUUAAAUACAGUCUAUGACAAGAGUUUAUUGAUACUCUACGGCAGUCAACAUCCGUUGAUGAUGGUGAACGUCAUCCUACACAAUAACCUUCUCUCCCUGGUCUCUCUCACACCAGCCAUGAAUGUUUUCAAAGCCACACGGCACAAUCAAGGGAGCACGACACACAGCUUAGCGACCGUGAUCUGUGAACCUCUCCUCGCUGGAACCUUCUCAGGCAAUUCUUUCCCCCAGGAGGCUCCGGGGAUGCUGGGAUUUUUUUGCCAUCCUGCCGAAAGGGGAGAAGGUACCCGAAAUGCCGCGUGAAAUGGAUUCACCGAGCCCGUGCCUGGGAAGCAGCCCCGCCCGUUCCUUUUCAAGACCCAGUGCCGCCGUGGCCUGACAAGCGGAUGAUGAGGAAAAUAACCAGCUAACACAGGCAAGUUACAGAAUAUUGACGAGCCAACACGGUCCAUAUUCAUUUGUUGAAUAAAUGCAUCAGACUGUCUGAACAGCCUCAUCUCCGGGCAGUUAUAAAUCAGGGAAGGAUGUGCUGCAGUAUCAUGAUGGAAGAUUUUUAGUUUCCUGUAGAGGAGUGACACCAUCAAGAUGGCAACAUAGGUCAUUCCUGACCUUUGUCCCUUCCAUGAGAAGCCUCCGUAGCCAUCAUCCGUAGGUGAGACACCAUUGUGAAAAUCCCAGAACCCCUGGAUCUCAGAGACUGGGAAUGGGAAUGACUGCAUUUGGAGGACAAGAGGAGUGUCUGCACUCUGACUGCAUUGCCCGUCCCCCAGGACAGCACAGCCACAUACCAAGAGGGCCUCUCCAGGCCUAUAGCUUUUGUGGGAACGAGACCCCCAGUGGACAUCCAGCCACCCCAGCAUUGUGGGACACUUCUGGAGAGGCCCACUUGGAUCUUGCCUCAUGGGGAUCCCUGGGAGAUUCUGCAGGAUCACUGGGGGAAUCUUGACCACCGGGGAUCAGAUAGUGAUGGAGGAGGAGGCUGGGACUUACAGCAACCAGUGCCCAGAUGUUGGCAGACUGCAUUCCUGCUUGCCAUGGCACUUGAACAGAGAUCCCAUCUAGUGCCUCUGCCCAUCUACAGAACUGAGCUGGUGCCCCCGUCUGGUCAGGGAACUUGCUUGACAGUUCUGCCUGACUUGGGUCCCCAGUCAAUGAGCCUGACCAUCUAAGGAAUCUGCUCUAUAGUCCUACUUGGGCAAGGAACCAGAUUCUUAACCCCAUCCAAAUACUGAGUAUAGAUGCAUGUCCCAACCAACCAGGAAUGCUGCACAGGGAACCCGGGUAGCCACAGAGCUCAUCCCAUAAUCCCACUUGGGUGGAGAGCCAAGCCAGCAGCCCUGCCCGGCUGAUGAACGUAGCCUCUGGUCACACAUGUGAACAUGGCCUAUGGUACCACCUGGCCACGGAGCCCAGCCUUCAGCUCUGCCUCACAAUAGAGCCUAGCCCAUGGCCUUGCCUGAUUGCUGAACACAGCCCGAGGCCUCCCCUGGGUGGAUAGCCCAGACAGUGACCACUCAGUUACAUAGCAAAGUCUCUAGUCCCACCUAAUAGCAGGCUUAGCUAGAGGCACCUCUCGACCGGGGCACCCGGACAGCAACCUUGCCCAAAAGCAGAGCACGGAUAUGGGUCUUUCUGAUCACAAAGCCUGGCCUGUGGCCCCCACCAACUUCAGGGCACAGUCUAUCAUCCCACCUGAUUGCAGAGCACAGCUAGUUGGACGGGGCGUCCAACUGUGAAGCCCUGCCUUUAGCUCUGCCUGAAUGUGGAGUCCAGCCAACAGUACCAUCCAGUUGGGGAGCACACCCUGAGACCACACCUGACCCGGAGUGAUGUGGAGCCCAGUCUGUAGACUUCCCAAACACAUAGUCCAACUGUGGCACCACUCUGCUAGGGAACACAGCCUGUGACCUCGUCUGACCAGAGGCGAUUACAGAGCCCAGCUGGUGGCCCCACCUGACUGGGGAGCCCAGCCAGCGGAACCCCCAGCUAACCUCAGAGCACAGGCAGUGGCCUCACCCAACUAGAAACCCUGACAGCAAGCCCAGCCCUCACACAGACACUACCAGCUGACCCGUCCAAGACCCCAAGCUGAGCUAUGGUGAAGGACUGUCCCUGCCAAAGUGAACCUGUAAAGGCUGGACGAGGAGACUGCUCACUCAAGUGCACAGAAGCCAAUGCAAGGAAUCAGGAAUCAUGAUGACAACCAAACAUGACACAACCAAAGGAAACUAAUAAAGAUCUACACACAGACCCUAAGAAAUGGAGAUCUGUGAACUGUCUGGCAAAGAAUUCAGAAUAGUCAGAAUUCAGAAUGUAAAUGGGUGCAGCCACUAUGGAAAACAAUAUGGGGGUUCCUCAAAAAAUUAAAAAUUGAACUACCCUAUGAUCCAGCAGACCCACUUCUGGGUAUGAUCUGAAGGAAAUGAAAUCAGUAUCUGGAAGAGAGAGCUGGACCCCUAGGUUCAUUGACCCAUUAUUUACAAUAGUCUAGACAUGGAAAGAAGUUAAGUGCCCAUUGUCAGACAGAUAGGUAAGGACAACGUGAUGUGUCAUUUUUAAUCACAAAUAGUUUUAUUGGAACAUUUGUCUUUUCCUUAUUGAUUUGUAUUUUUCAAAUGGAACUAGUCAAAUGUUAAAAAAUAGAAACUAUACAGCACAUUUUUUGUUUUUAUUUUUUUCAUCUUGAUUUUUGUGAGGUUCAGUUGCCGGUUCUGCCAGGUAAUGACAGAAUAAACUUGGGAUUGUCAUUUAACCUCUCUGACACUCAGUAUUCCCAUCAGUGGAAGGGGAACAACAAAACCUAUCUGCAUCAUUUUGGGGUUUAAGUGGAAUAACACUUAAAAUACUUUGGCAACCUUUUGUGAUUGUGUAUACUUUUGGUGCUCUCAUAAAGCCCUACUGUACUUCUCAGGACAAUCACUUUAAAUUCGUAAAACGAAAUACAUAGAACUAUAAAGGAAGCCAAUUAUAUUACAGUUACCAAAAAACUUUUAAAGCAAGUUUGUGAUAGAAUACCAUACGUAUUUCUUUGUUAAUGUUAAAAAUGAAAAUAUCAAGCCGAUCUAUAAGUACUAUAACUAGUAGUGAAACACAUAAAUAGUAUUUUAAUGUAUCCGCCAAACGAAUACAUGAAAAUAUCUGUCGGGGCGCCUGGGUGGCUCAGUCGGUUGAGCGUCCAACUUCGGCUCAGGUCAUGAUCUCACGGUUCACGAGUUCGAGCCCCACGUCAGGCUCUGUGCUGACAGCUCAGAGCCUGGAACCUGUUUUGGAUUCUGUGUCUCCUUCUUUCUCUCUGCUUCUCCCUUGCUCACACUCUGUCUCUGUCUGUCUGAAAAAUAAAUAAAUGUUAAAAAAA